This 643-nucleotide unclassified non-coding RNA is filed under the name Hevea brasiliensis (rubber tree). Lineage: Eukaryota; Viridiplantae; Streptophyta; Magnoliopsida; Malpighiales; Euphorbiaceae. The record is from RNAcentral.
GAUAAAGGUUUAGUUGAGCUGAGUUUUAUAGAUAAACAAGUAACCAGCUAACACUGGGGUGUUAGUAAAGCAGUGAUAAGCAAACAAUGUAAAUAGCUUUAAUUCAGAUGACAUAACAAAACAAUGAGUAAAGCAACAACAUAAAAACAUGCCAAGGAAUCCCUCAGCCCGAAAUUCUCUUGUUGGUGCAUCAGCUACUAAAUGUGGAAUAUGUAGACAAUUCAGACCUGCAACUGGCUAGGAAUAGUCGAUGUAAAGUCCAUGGAUUAAGGAGCUUUAAGUCUACAACAUACCUAUUAUGUCAACUUUAUCACAAGGAUACACCCAUUGCACCACAGAGGUUUUGGGGCUCAAAUCCAAACAGACAAUUACAACAAGACAAAUGAAGCUAAAUCAGCGGCAACAGAUUAUAUAAAAGGUUAAAUAAAUACAUGUAUAACAAUAAAGUAUCACAAACAUCAAAAGCAAGGCAAUUGCUCCAGUGGUAUAAAUCUCUCUGGGUGUGAGAGGUUCAUGCAAUUCAAGGUUAGAGUUUAUGUAUUGUGUUCUUUUAUUUUUUGUUGGCCCCUCAAAAUUUAUACUCUUCGAUUGAAAGGUUGGUAGAGAAGAGAGGAGCGAUGGGGGUAGGGGGCAUACAGUUUAU